This 465-nucleotide ribosomal RNA is filed under the name uncultured bacterium. RNAcentral's name for it is "partial 16S ribosomal RNA". It matches the Rfam family "Bacterial small subunit ribosomal RNA", at positions 28 to 507 of the family's 1533-position model. The record is from RNAcentral.
GACGAACGCUGGCGGCGUGCUUAACACAUGCAAGUCGAACGGAAAGGCCCCUUUGGGGGUCCUCGAGUGGCGACCGGGUGAGUAACACGGGAGUAACCUGCCCUUGACUUCGGGUUAACUUCAGGAAACUGGGGCUAAUACCGGUUAGGAAUCCUAGCUGCAUGGGGGGGGUUGGAAAGCUUCGGCGGUUUUGGAUGGACUGGCGGCUUAUCGGCUUGUUGGUGGGGUAGUGGCUUACCAAGGCGUUGACGGGUAGCCGGCCUGAGAGGGUGACCGGCCACACUGGGACUGAGAUACGGCCCAGACGCCUACGGGAGGCAGCAGUGGGGAAUAUUGCACAAUGGGCGGCAGGCGGAUGCAGCAACGCCGCGGGCGGGAUGACGGCCUUCGGGUUGUAAACCGCUUUCAGCAGGGGCGAAGCUUGUGGUGACGGUACCUGCAGAAGAAGCACCGGCUAACUACGUG